GCCUGGUGGUUCCUUGAGUCAGCUUGUCUGUGCUGAUCCUUGAGGUUUUAUCUGACAGGCACAAAUUGAUUUCUGCAAUUUAAUGCUUGGAAGUUGCCAUUCCUGUGCACCUUCCACAGCCCGGUCGCAGAAACAUGU
Molecule: small nucleolar RNA, 138 nt
Organism: Carassius auratus (goldfish)
Lineage: Eukaryota; Metazoa; Chordata; Actinopteri; Cypriniformes; Cyprinidae
Product: small nucleolar RNA SNORA84
Source: Ensembl